Molecule: long non-coding RNA, 664 nt
Organism: Pongo pygmaeus (Bornean orangutan)
Lineage: Eukaryota; Metazoa; Chordata; Mammalia; Primates; Hominidae
Exons: 4
Source: RefSeq, a predicted model, not a curated record
GAAAAACCUGUUGGAAACAUGAAAAUAGCGGGGUCAACAGGCAGAGGAGCAUCAAAAACCUACGUUUAUAUGCCUGCGUGCGUGUAGGAGAGAAGGUGGCAAUGCUAGAGGGGGAAGGGAAGAAAGAAGAGAGGAGAAACACAGAGGACGAGAAGGAAAGUGAAGGGGGGGCUACACCGGGGGAAUGGGAGGGUUUGGGAAGGCGGAUAGGCUGACACCAGGAGUGAGCAGAACGAGGGGGGAGAGCGAAUGAGGAGGCAGACAGGCUCCCAGGGUGAUUUGAGAGUUGCCAGGAGAGGAAGGCCAUUUGGCAAGAAUCCUGACAGACAAAAGCUGGAGGAGGGUAGAGCAAGAUGGCAGAAUAGAAAGCUCCACCGAUCAUACUCUGCCCCCACAAGGACACCAAGUUAAUUACCUACACAGAAGAAAUACCUUCAUAAGAACCAAAAAUCAGGUUCUACCUCCCAGAUGACAUUUCUAGACAUACCCUGGGCCAGAAGAGAACCCACUUCCUUGAAGGAAAGGAUCCAGUCCUGGCAGCAUUCAUCGCCUGCUAACUGAAGAUCCCUUGGGCCUUGAAUAACCAGCAGCAAUACCCAGGCAGAUCUUCAUGGGAAGCCAAAUUAUAAUCAGAAUAUUGUUCAUACCAUAGAAUUAAGACAAG